AACGCGAAGAACCUUACCUGGGCUCGAAAUGUAGUGGAAUAGGGUGGAAACAUCCUAGUCUCGCAAGAGACUGCUAUAUAGGUGCUGCAUGGCUGUCGUCAGCUCGUGCCGUGGUGUUGGGUUAAGUCCCGCAGCGAGCGCAACCCUUACUCAUAGUUGCUACCCGCAAGGGGGAACUCUAAGAGGACUGCUCCGGAUAACGGAGAGGAAGGUGGGGAUGACGUCAAGUCAGCACGGCCUUUAUGUCCAGGGCUACACACGUGUUACAAUGCAUGGUACAAACCGUCGCGAACCUGCGAAGGGGAGCUAAUCGGAAAAAACCAUGCUCAGUUCGGAUUGCAGUCUGCAACUCGACUGCAUGAAGCCGGAAUCGCUAGUAAUGGCGUAUCAGAACGACGCCGUGAAUACGUUCCCGGGCCUUGUACACACCGACUGUAC
Molecule: ribosomal RNA, 438 nt
Filed under: uncultured bacterium
Lineage: Bacteria
Description: bacterial SSU rRNA
Rfam family: Bacterial small subunit ribosomal RNA
Source: RNAcentral